GCUGAUGGGAAUGGGGGGCAUUUACAAGGACGGUCCCGAGGUUUCUUCGUGGGCCUCAUGAAGGGUCUUGAAGAGUAAGGGGCAGUGAAGCUGUGAUGUUACUGCAGGAAGGGAGUAGGGUGGUAUCCAGACGCGAAAGGGUUAAUGGGAGUUGUCCUCAUGACUGGAGGAGUAGGGGCCCCUCCUCCCACCAGAGGAAACCGGGGGUCUGCUGGUGGGAGUGAGGAGGCAGGGUUGAGAGGUGCAGCCAUCUGGAGAGAGACCUGGACUGGGCAUGAAGGGUCAGACACCCCUGGGCAGAGGGUGAGAUUAAGCCAGGGGCAGUUGGGGAAGGGGGCUCUUUCAGAAGAUGCCAUUGGGAGACAGUGCCCUGACUGGUAGACAUCCACCCACAGAAGGAGCUGGACCCUAGCUGCCCCAGUGGGCAAGGACACUUGAAGAUCAAAUCUGUUCCGGCCUGGCAGCCUCUCCCCAGCUGGGCAGGGGCCCCAGGCACCGUGAUGUGGAGUCAAGCCGCCUAUACCUCCCUUGGCUGCCCCAGGGCUGCUAGGAUCCAGCAAUGCCUGUGAGAAAACCU
Molecule: small RNA, 577 nt
Filed under: Pan troglodytes (chimpanzee)
Lineage: Eukaryota; Metazoa; Chordata; Mammalia; Primates; Hominidae
Description: processed transcript
Source: RNAcentral